This is a long non-coding RNA of Frieseomelitta varia, 197 nucleotides long. RefSeq lists it as uncharacterized. The transcript is spliced from 3 exons. The record is from RefSeq and is a predicted model, not a curated record. NCBI's taxonomy places the organism in Eukaryota, Metazoa, Arthropoda, Insecta, Hymenoptera, Apidae.
AUCUCACUUUAGUGCAGGUACAUCCACGUGGGGAUCUAGUAGACCCCCACCAUUAGCAAAUCUUUUCUAGUUUCGUCUAGCUUCGUGACGAGUUGUUUACAUUCAGCGUCUCAGUUUUCCUUAAUAUCUUCGACCUUUUUCAUAGAUUUACGCAGUACUGUAGGCUUACUCCAAAUAUUAGACCCCCACGUGGACAU